Molecule: long non-coding RNA, 593 nt
Filed under: Brassica napus (rape)
Lineage: Eukaryota; Viridiplantae; Streptophyta; Magnoliopsida; Brassicales; Brassicaceae
Description: long non-coding RNA (BNAP_LNC005784)
Source: RNAcentral
AGAGAGGUUAGAGAGUUUUAAAAUGAGGAACAUUACAUUUUUGUUGCAGCCAUUUAAGAGAAAGAAAGAUAAUGUGUAAAUUUUUCUUUAUAUAGGGAGACAAAAAAUCCAAUUAGGUUAAAUAUUUUCGAUUCAAAAGACUUUCAAGUAAGUCUUCCAGAAGACUUCAAUAUUUUUAGCGAAAAAUUAAAAUAUUUUUAGCAGGAAACUAAAAUAGAAGAAUUCCUGGAAGACUUACAUGUUAGUCGUCUAAACCAUAAACAUAACCUCUAAACUAAAUUAACUAACUAAACACUUCAUAAAAUCAAAUUAAACUUAAAAAGUGUUUAUUGUAAACAUAAAUAAACACAUAUAGGUAAAAACUUAAUUUUUCAAAAUAACAUUUAAGCUUUCCAAAAUCUAACCCUAAGAAUACAUACAAUACUACAAUAUAUGUUGUCAAACCAUACACCAAAAAAUAUCAUGAUUAACUACUUUCACUCAUCUAUGUUGAAAACUAUUCAAUUUUAUUAUAUAUUAAUUUACAUCACUUAAAAUUGUUUACAAUUACAUGAUUUUAAUUUUUCACUUGUCAAAAUAUUUUUUAAAACAAU